Long non-coding RNA from Numida meleagris (helmeted guineafowl), 3061 nucleotides. RefSeq lists it as uncharacterized. The transcript has 3 exons. Lineage: Eukaryota; Metazoa; Chordata; Aves; Galliformes; Numididae. The record is from RefSeq and is a predicted model, not a curated record.
UCUGAGUCUCAAUUCAACGGCAGGUGAUUACUUCAGCCCCGUCAGAUUCCAGGCAAUGCAUAUCCUACAUUCUUAUCUGGAUAUCCGUGCUGCUUUUAACUCCCAUCUGUGCCCCAGCGAGAUAAAACUGAAAGAGGCACCAUCAUCCUUCCCCUUGACCUUCUCCUGUGGCAAGAGAGAUGCCAUUCAUCAGCUCAUAAAGCAGUGCACGCAGACCCCAACCCUCCAUAUGACAAGAAGAGCUGUUCUGCUACCUCAGGAGCUGCUGGAAAAAAAAUACAUAAAACCAAACAGCUUGCCUUGCUCUUGAGCUCAUGGAUAACACGUACAGGUACAGAGUUGCCUGAGUCUUCUGAGGAUCAAGUAACAGGAAAUUGGAUGGAUGCUUUGCUGCAGUUAAUUUCCAGUAAAGAAAACAAAGUACAGAAUGAAUGGAGAUAGUGACGAUGAGGGAAAUACUCCAAGAAUCAGCUUUAGCUCUCUGACUGUCCUUCCAGGAAACAAUGAAAUCAUUUUAGCCCGCUUCAACUGGCUAGAAGCACCCAAGAAAUCUUUUGUCCUGUAGUGAAAAUCAGAACAUGAACACCCUGGGCACCAUGAAGUCUUGAGUUGGAUACAACCUGGGCCAAGAGGCCCACCCAUCUCUCUAUACUGAUCUAGACCACCCUAAGUUUGUUACUGGCACUGCAUCAAGGUUUAAGAGUCCCUCCUAUUACAGUAUUCCCAGACUGAUGACCAAUUAAUUCUUUGCUGUCUCUGUACUAUUAAUUGCCCAAUAAAUGUAUCUUUGCAAUUGAAAAUUCUAUUUUAAGUUAAAAUAAUGAAGGAUUUUAUUGUUAUAUAAGUGUUUCUAGGUAUGUUGAUGUAAAAAAAUCAACGAGAAAACAACUUCUUCCAUUCAGAGGAUAUCGUAAACCAUGUUUUUUUUUUCCUCAGGAAUAAAGAUCUAUUAAUCGGGCAGAUUUUAUGUUCCAAACUUGUAUGUGGAAAAACUGGAGAGCAGCAAAUCUAGUGAAACAUAGUUUCUCUGCAUUUUCAUCGCUUAGGCACUACUAAACUUUGGCAAUAAAACAACAAGCCCCAGCUCUCAGGUAUCACUUACGGUGUGCCCUUGGAUCCAAGGCAACGUAAGUUACGACUUGCACCAACCCCUACACAUGGUGAUUAGUGAGUCCUGCAUAUGACACUGCUUUUUUGACUGGAUGCUACCCCAAAAUGUAUACCAACAGAGCACUGCCUGCCCUUUCACAUCAAUGACUUGUAAAGUUGUCAAGCGUACUGGCAGAGGAAUAGCACAAUCCACACGACCCGUUUCCCUAAGACAUGAGGAUAAGCACAACACUUAACUCAGUUUCAGAUCUCCGAGGAUUUGACAGAAACAUGGCAAAAGUCACCUUACUCUACAGUCCCAAGUCUCAAGUGUCCCUUCAGAACAAACCUUUCGUUUUUUGGUUACCUCAGUGUUUCAUUACAGACAGUGAGAAGAAAAGGGGAAAAGUUUUCAUUUGACUACCUAGUUCUGACCGAGGAAAGCCAGUUUCAGGACCUCCGCAACAGGCUUUCUGCAUACAUAACAAAUGAAUACCUGCAGCAGGAAUACAGGAUACACAUUUUAUUCUAGGCUUUGCUAAAAACACACUCUGAGCUUGGAAAAGUAACCAAAUCUCAACAUGCACCUAAUGUUAUCAUUUUUAACUCCCCAUAAAACUUACUUACUCAUCCUGCAGGUUUCUUGUAUGCUCUGUUACAGACUGUAAAGUUUACUCCAUUUCCAGGCUAGCAGCUUCAAGUAGAAAGCAAAGUGACACAAUGUUCAACAGGGAAAUCAGAAGCGAACGAACAGAAUGAAAAGUCAGUCACGACAAAAAAAAGCUUUUUGUUUGGAAGAUAAUACAAAUGAUCAUUCAAACAGUACAAAGUGGCCUAUUUCAAUCAAUCUUGCCUAGCUAAGAUCAGUAGAACAGAUAAAUGCUGUACACACUCUAAAUGCUUGCAUACUAAAUGCCAAUAUAAAAUGAAUACUGACUGCCUGCAGAGGAACCAUGAGACCAUGGGCGGCCACUGUACUUCUCAUUUCUGAAUAAUUUCCUGAUUUCUUCCUUCUGACUUCCCACUUUCUUCCCUUUGACUCUUCAGCAUAUGUGGUGUAUGUCUCAUGAUCUCAGACACACAAAGACUUCGGCAGGUGAUUCCUAAAACAUCCUGGUUGAUCAGCCCUCUGUUACCUGUCAGAAACCUGCCUAAGUCUACUCUAGAAAUUUAAAUCUUUUCACCUUUUCUUUAGAAUAGUUAUUUUACUCACUCAGCCAAAGUCCAAAUAUUCCCCUGUGAAUAUGGCAGAAGUUUAUGGUUUUUUGUAUCUAUAGAGAUAGACAGCACACAGCAAUGCCUUUGAUAUUCUGUCUGCCUUAAAGAUUUUCUCUGCAAAACGUGUUGAACCAACAGUUCUUCUGUUAUUAUACACAUCUGAAUUCCUGUUUUACAGGAAAUGUAAUAUGCAUGACCUCAAAUUUGUAUGCUUGUCAUUAACGUGUGCAUAGGUUCAUCAAAAGGUAACUUCUUUAGGUAACACCUAUUGGACAGUUCCUAAUUUACUACUAAAAUGCGAAAAAAAAAUGCUAAUGGACUGUAUUUUGUGAGAGAGAGUUAAAUUAACUAAGUAACCUGGUAUAGUUACAUUUUUUUCACAUAGAUUUCUGUAUCCCACUCCAAACUGGUUCCCUUGCAGGGCAACACACUGGAAGAUGCAUUGUCCCAAAGAGGUCACAGUCUGAGAUGCAAUAAGAAGCAACGAGCAAGAGUUGUAAAACAAGAAGAAGAGAAAAGUAAGGGAGGAAAGGUGUGACUGGAAGAAGACACAAGCUACUUUUGUAUACAGUGAAAUGAUUCAGGGUAUUUGACACAUCUUCGUUAGCUUCCUUUCCUCCUCAUCAAGAAAAUAAAUAACCAAAAUUCUUGACUGAUAGGUGACUAGUCACCACUGUUGGCUGACCACAGACAGAAGUCAUGGAGGAACUGAAGAAGCAGAAGGAAGAGAAGAUAUUUACCUUAUGAAUAACAA